AGCGAACGUUAGCGGCGCGCCUAACACAUGCAAGUCGCACGAGAAAGGGAGCAAUCCCCGGUACAGUGGCGCACGGGUGAGUAACACGUAGAUGACCUUCCCUGGAGUGGUGGAUAACCUGCCGAAAGGCGGGCUAAUACAGCAUGGGACCACAUGGUUUUGACCGAGUGGUGAAAGCGGGCCUCUGUUCACAAGCUCGCGCUCUGGGAUGGGUCUGCGUCCCAUCAGCUAGUUGGUGAGGUAAUGGCUCACCAAGGCAUCGACGGGUAGCUGGUCUGAGAGGAUGACCAGCCACACUAGAACUGAGACACGGUCCAGACUCCUACGGGAGGCAGCGGUGGGGAAUCUUGCGCAAUGGGCGAAAGCCUGACGCAGCGACGCCGCGUGGGUGAUGAAGGCCUUCGGUUGUAAGACC
This 415-nucleotide ribosomal RNA is filed under the name uncultured bacterium. RNAcentral's name for it is "bacterial SSU rRNA". It matches the Rfam family "Bacterial small subunit ribosomal RNA", at positions 29 to 432 of the family's 1533-position model. The record is from RNAcentral.